Molecule: ribosomal RNA, 579 nt
Filed under: Axinella dissimilis
Lineage: Eukaryota; Metazoa; Porifera; Demospongiae; Axinellida; Axinellidae
Description: eukaryotic LSU rRNA
Rfam family: Eukaryotic large subunit ribosomal RNA
Source: RNAcentral
CCAAGGAGUGCAACAUGCGUGCGAGUCUUGGGGUGGCAAACCCUUCGGCGCAAUGAAGGUGAAGGCAGNCNUUUNNUCUGCUCAGGCAGGAGCCCCCAUCCUUGGGGGCACACUGUCGACCGAUCCCAGGCUACGCUGUGGCGGGAUUUGAGUAAGAGCGUGCCUGUUGCGACCCGAAAGAUGGUGAACUAUGCCUGACUAGGGUGAAGCCAGAGGAAACUCUGGUGGAAGCUCGUAGCGAUUCUGACGUGCAAAUCGAUCGUCAAAUUUGGGUAUAGGGGCGAAAGACUAAUCGAACCAUCUAGUAGCUGGUUCCCUCCGAAGUUUCCCUCAGGAUAGCUGGAGCCCGGUGCAGUUUUAUCAGGUAAAGCGAAUGAUUAGAGGUCUUGGGGUUGAAACAACCUCAACCUAUUCUCAAACUUUAAAUGGGUAAGAAGCUCGGCUUGCUUAGUUGAAGUCGGGCCCGGAAUGCCGGGGCUUCUAGUGGGCCAUUUUUGGUAAGCAGAACUGGCGAUGCGGGAUGAACCGAAAGCUGGGUUAAGGUGCCCGAGUCGACGCUCAUCAGAUACCAUGAAAGGU